This 474-nucleotide ribosomal RNA is filed under the name uncultured bacterium. RNAcentral's name for it is "bacterial SSU rRNA". It matches the Rfam family "Bacterial small subunit ribosomal RNA", at positions 29 to 524 of the family's 1533-position model. The record is from RNAcentral.
AUUGAACGCUGGCGGAAUGCUUUACACAUGCAAGUCGAGCGGCAGCGCGGGGCAACCUGGCGGCGAGCGGCGAACGGGUGAGUAAUACAUCGGAACGUGCCCAGACGUGGGGGGAUAACUACUCGAAAGAGUGGCUAAUACCGCAUACGAUCUAAGGAUGAAAGCGGGGGAUCGCAAGACCUCGCGCGUUUGGAGCGGCCGAUGGCAGAUUAGGUAGUUGGUGGGGUAAAGGCUUACCAAGCCCGCGAUCUGUAGCUGGUCUGAGAGGACGAUCAGCCACACUGGGACUGAGACACGGCCCAGACUCCUACGGGAGGCAGCAGUGGGGAAUCUUGCGCAAUGGGGGCAACCCUGACGCAGCCAUGCCGCGUGAACGAUGAAGGCCUUAGGGUUGUAAAGUUCUUUUACCCGUGACGAUGAUGACGUAACGGGGGAAUAAGCUCCGGCUAACUUCGUGCCAGCAGCCGCGGUAAU